RNAcentral lists this long non-coding RNA (738 nucleotides) under Aplysia californica (California sea hare). Its description in RNAcentral is "uncharacterized LOC101860247, transcript variant X1". Lineage: Eukaryota; Metazoa; Mollusca; Gastropoda; Aplysiida; Aplysiidae. The record is from RNAcentral.
GUGAGGGAUGCACGGUCGGUCCCCGAUCGCGAUAUGGAGAAGCAGUCGCGCAGUUAGUUACUAGAGGGUUGUUAUUCUGUACUGCAACAAACUUUUCUCUAUUGGCUAUCUCGGACGCUGGGCUUCCGAGUCGUGCAGAUCAAGUCAGCCAACAGUUGAGCGUGAAUCUACAUCCUGCAAGGCCAAUAUAAGGCCAUAUAAUAUACGGAUUGUCUGCUUUGGACGAUAAACCUCCGCUCACGUUGAGCGAACACAUCUGAAAGCACCUUGUGUUGAGAAAAAAGCAAACUGUGAGAAUUGCGAUCGUGUACAUUGAUCUAUACCAUCGGACUACCUGUGAAUGAUUCUUCUGCACCCUGUGACUCAACUGUUUCAAGUGUUGUUUUUCUGAAUUUUAAGACCAACUUGAUAUUUCUCAUCUGUUGCACUACUCGGGAUAUACUGACAUUUAAGAUACAGACAUUGUGGAGACAUUCUUCUUGGCACGUGUUGAGUUGCAGAAUCUAAUCCAAAUGCCUCUUUGCUUCACCGGGUGCAACCCCUUGAAAGGAUGCCGGUCAUAAAACAGGGAAGCUUCGAAUUGAGAAAACCCGUGAAAGAGGGACUCUAGAAGGCAGUUGUCUUUCCGGAACUAUGGAGUAGUUUCCCUUGCUCAAGACAAGACCCUUGCAACACUUAAGUGUCUACCAUACGAACCUCUCAGUUUUUGGAAAUAGUGAACAGUGAGUACAGUUUGUG